GUCUCUGUAAGCCAAUGUCUUACACUUACUGUCUAGUCACAGAACCCUGGGGCGUUAUCUGGGACAGCCUGGUAGCUGAGAGGUCCCUGGGUGUGGUGACGAUGGAGCAAGAAGCAUUUGCCCUUCUUGAGUGUCUCUCUCCCCCACAGCGCUUCAGCAUGGAAGGCAUCUCCAACAUUCUGCAGAGUGGCAUCCGCCAGACCUUUGGCUCCUCAGGAACUGACAAACAGUAUCUGAACACAGUCAUUCCUUACGAGAAGAAAGCCUCUCCUCCCUCAGUGGAAGACCUGCAGAUGCUGACAAACAUUCUCUUUGCCAUGAAGGAGGAUAAUGAGAAGGUGCCUACUUUGCUAACGGACUACAUUUU
Molecule: small RNA, 367 nt
Filed under: Pongo abelii (Sumatran orangutan)
Lineage: Eukaryota; Metazoa; Chordata; Mammalia; Primates; Hominidae
Description: retained intron
Source: RNAcentral